Molecule: ribosomal RNA, 549 nt
Filed under: Nassarius sp. MNHN IM 2007-35597
Lineage: Eukaryota; Metazoa; Mollusca; Gastropoda; Neogastropoda; Nassariidae
Description: partial 12S ribosomal RNA
Source: RNAcentral
CGCGGUUAUACCAAGUGAUUAAGUUAUAUCUUUAGGUAAAAAGACAGUUAGGUUUAUAGAAACGACUUAGUUUAUUAAACAUCUAUAAAAAAGUAAAAUUUGUAUAUAGAUAGCUAAUCUAAUAAUAACUAUGUAUACUGAAGCUGUGAUAGUCUUGAGGGAAACUGGGAUUAGAUACCCCAUUAUUCUUGAUUGUAAAUAUAAUUAAAUUUACCAGAGUACUAUGAAUAGUUAAAAAUUUAAAACUCAAAGGGCUUGGCGGUGUUUUAGACCUAUCAGGGGAACCUGUCUCGUAAUCGACAAUCCGCGUAAUAUCUAACCCUAUUUUGUAAUCAGUUUGUAUACCGUCGUCGUCAGGUAACUUUUAAAAAUAUAGAAGUUAGCAAUUAAAACUUAUUAGUUAAAACGUCAGAUCAAGGUGCAGCCUACAAUAGGGAGAGGAUGGGUUACAAUUAUAAAAGUUAUAAUUACGGAAAUUUAAAUGGAACUUAUUUUGAAGGAGGACUUGAAAGUAAACUAAAAUACAUAAGUAGCUUGAAUGAGGCUCUG